Telopea speciosissima is the source of this 443-nucleotide long non-coding RNA. RefSeq lists it as uncharacterized. The transcript is spliced from 3 exons. The record is from RefSeq and is a predicted model, not a curated record. Lineage: Eukaryota; Viridiplantae; Streptophyta; Magnoliopsida; Proteales; Proteaceae.
UAUAUUAUUUAGCUGCAGGAACUCAAGAAGCUGGGGGAUCACAUUGAGUAGCGUUACAAGGAGAACUCGGAGAGAAGACCAGCAAUUGAACAAAUUAACUAAUGCAUCAACAGUUUCAGAGAGGCAGCAUUGGAAAGAACCUUUGGACUUUUGCUAAUAUCUCUUCUUCUUAGAAUGUAAUUGAUUUGGCUUCAUGACUGGAGAUGACUUUAUAAUUUUGAUCAUCCUUGAUAUUUGGUUGGUGGUAUAUGAGUGUGUGGAAGUGGAGGCAUAGUUGAGAGAGAAAAAUGCAGCAACAAGAAAACCUUCGGAAAUAUUCAUCACCAGUUCUGUUGUCGGCUGAUUUGAGAAGGAAAGCAAAAGCAGUUGGCAGGUGGUGUGUCAAGAGCAAUCCCUCUCCAGUUUGGGAGUUUCAGUCAUGGUUUUGUGUAUGGAUGCAGGUA